RNAcentral lists this unclassified non-coding RNA (1846 nucleotides) under Hevea brasiliensis (rubber tree). The record is from RNAcentral. Lineage: Eukaryota; Viridiplantae; Streptophyta; Magnoliopsida; Malpighiales; Euphorbiaceae.
CUCUCUCUCUCUCUCUCUCUCCUAGAAGGUUAACCCUAACCCCAAAUCUCCAUGACAUGACUUGAGCUAAGAGCCCAGUACGUCUAAGCUCCAUUACUGGUCGAAUCAAAAAAAUUAGAAUUAAAAAUAGAAAGGCAGAAAACGAUGCCGUCUCAUGGUGACCUGGACCGGCAGAUCGAGCACCUGAUGCAGUGUAAGCCACUGACGGAAGCGGAAGUGAAGGCACUGUGCGAGCAAGCAAGAGCGAUCCUGGUGGAGGAAUGGAACGUGCAGCCCGUCAAAUGCCCCGUCACUGUCUGCGGUGAUAUUCACGGCCAGUUCCAUGAUCUUGUCGAGCUCUUUCGCAUCGGUGGAAACGCCCCCGACACUAACUAUCUUUUCAUGGGCGACUAUGUCGGUCAGUCUCUUACUAUUUAGUUAUGGACAUGUAUUUUCUAUUAUGUUGAGCUGGAGCUGAGCUUCAAUAUCUGGAAUUUUUUGUUUUUUAAAAGAACAAAAGAUUGAUCAAGCUUACUGAAAGAGAUAAUAUAGAUUUCAAAGUUUGAGAUUUGUAAGUCAUAUGUUUUCAAGCCUUUUUUUUUUUUAGUUUUUGUUAUUAGGUAUUAACCUACAUAUCAUAGAAUAUUUAGCGAAAUUUCUGAAAAUGAUUGCCUGGGGAUGUUGGAGUAUGGUUGCCCACUGUUAUGAUAGUUAAUGUGCGUUGUUUUAAUUUAAGCAAUGAGAAUAUGAUUAAAGUGGCGUAGAUAACAUAGAAGCUAUACCUUCAUUCUACUGGAAAGAGUUAGUUGCGCGUCAGCAGAUGGGUAAGCACUGUGCAAUGUUUAUAUUGAAGCGUUACAACCACAUUUUAUGAUAAAUAAAACUAGGAUUACUCUAACAGGGGUUCUUGCCCAUGUACACUAGGAGUAAACUGGUAGUUCUUUGCAGAAAAUGUUAUGAACAAGGAUUUCUGGUAUCAGAAUGAUGAAAAAAGAAACUCUCCCCAUAGUGAGAAAUAUGUAACCAGUUUUUUUUAUGGUUCGAUAGCAGCAUUUACCCACUUUCAAAAGCCUUAAAGUUCCUCUCUCUUUUGAUUACUUUAGGUCAAUUGUUAGAGGACCAGAACUUAUUUCUGAUAUGAGCAUGCACAAGUGGAGUAUCUAUUAUAUUCCUUUCUGCCAUUGAAGCUAUGCUUCUCUGUCUCUGUAGUCUGUAAUCAUGUUUUCUAACUUGGUAUACCAGAAAUUGCAACUGUAUUUAAUUUUUCCCCCCUUUCUUCUUUUGCUAUUCUGUAGAUCGAGGAUAUUACUCAGUGGAAACUGUGACUCUUUUAGUAGCUCUGAAAGUUCGAUAUAGAGAUAGGAUUACAAUUCUAAGAGGGAACCAUGAAAGUCGUCAAAUAACUCAAGUGUAAGAGCUCUAUUCAUUUGAAGUUCGCUUAUUCAUAGUUGCACUAUUAUUACCUGUGCUUGUGAAAUUAACCUAUACUAGCAGUUGUGGGUCUAAAACUGCUUCCUUGCAUGCUUCCUAGUUUUAAAUUUUCUUGAGUUAUGACUGAUGAAUGCAUUGUUUAAAUGUCCUUAUUUUUUGUCCAAUUUUCUUUUGUUUUAAAGUCACAGAGUGAAAUGAACAAGGACAGAUAGCAUGAAUGGAUAAUUCUCUUCAUUUUAUUUAUAAAUAUGAGCCAUUCAAUCAAAUUCCUGUGCAUAUGGCAAUGGAACCCAGAACAAUACAAUGUGCUGAUGCCUUGGUGUUCUAGUUAUUUGGUCAUGUAAAUGAUGCAUUAUAAAAUCCACAGUUCCUACCAAUAACUACUUUUUUUGUUUAUCUCUUCAGGUACGGUUUUUAUGAUGAAUGCUUAAGAAAA